GGAGCAACUCCGCCAGGGCCACCUGCCGGUCCCAAGUCCCGGAUAAAGGAGGAGGGUUGC
Molecule: non-coding RNA, 60 nt
Filed under: unclassified sequences
Source: RNAcentral